GAAAAGAGAAGCAGGCUUUACUUCUUUAGAAAAGUUCUAAGGUAAGCUUUCUGUUUAUUUUUCUGGCUCACCUUCCCAAUCUAUAUUCUUCAUUCUCUCCUUUUAUGAUCGGGAACUGAUUCGACUCAUGGUAGCUUAGCUUUAAAGGCGUAUCAACAAAAUUUAUACCUUGAAUACUAUUACUAAAGUAGCCAAGCUACUAUAGCAUAGUGGUUCUAGGAUCGUUCACUGGGAAGGGUUUUCGCAAACACUAGUGAUAUUCAAAUUAGGAAAAUAGGUGAUUUUCUUAUGGAUGUUAGCUUAAAGAAGAUGUAAAUGUUUUAGAAAGAUUUAAACUAAUCUAAGCUAACAUUAAAGACUAAAAUGAAAGGGUGUAAAAACAAGUUUCUCAAAGAUAGGAUAGCUAUGCUCUGGCUCUUAUGCAAAUUGGAAAUCUUAGGAUAGGCUCCUCGCGUUGGGGUUGCAACUAUGGUAAUGCUUGCUUCCCGAACCGGUAUGGAUUUAGCAAAUCAAGUUUUAAUCCUUUAAAAUGGCAAAAUAGAUGGUAGUGAAUUUCAUCAAUGACUAUUCACCUUAGACUUCCUUUGAAUGGCUCGUAAGAGAUAACUAAUGGUCUAAAGCCAAAAGCUUACCAAAUAUUGGCAACUCAAAGUCAUUCCAGGUGAUAAACUCACCUUUCAAUGACCAUUGAAAUUGGUUCUAACGAAUUAAUGCAAAACUUGGAAUUGAAAACCUCACCUUCCAAUAGCUCGUAGGAGAUAACUAAUGGAUAGAAAUCCAAAAGCUUAUCAAGUAUUGGCCGUUGGAAGUUGUCCAAAGGAAAUAAAAACCAAACUUUGCAUUAAUGAACCAUUAAUGAAAAACGACUACCUUACCUUCCGAGUGCGAGAAAUUUCCAUGGGAUUGCAUCCAAGUCAUCACAUAACAUCCAUACUUUGAGAAACUAAAAGUUUUAGCCAAUCAUCCUUUGAGGAAAAGCCCUCAGAGGCUGUUUGGCUACUAAGAAAAUAAAAUAGUAAAGAGAAAAGAGAGGCGAGAGAGCUCUGUAUAUAUAUGUGUAAAACGUAACACGCAUGUUCUAUAUUCCAAGAGGUGAUUUCCACCCCUUAUAUAGUCUUUACAAAAGCAAAAGCUUGUGAUUGGUUAGUUACAAGGAUAAGAAAGGAAAUUACAUCACAAAAUACAAAGGAAAAUAUCUAAAGUGGAGUCGGCAAAAACAGAGGAAAAUUCGCACCACGCAUGGGUUAUGCGAAUUUUGAAGGUGUUAUGCGAAUUUCGCAUAACACCUUGUGUCGUGCGAAAUUUUCGCACAACCUGGAGCAGUUGGCUUCCGAAGGCCAUAUCUUCCUCAUUUCAGCUCCAAAUCGUACACGGUUUGAAGCGUUGGAUUCUUGACUUCCAGAGCUUUGAAAUGGUAUAUAGCAUGUAAAACAUGGACUUCGGAAAGUGCUCCAAAAGUGCGAAAGAAGACUGCAGCUGCUGUCCUCUUUGCUUCUCUUCACUUUGCUUGCUUUUCCUCUUUUCCAUUGUUCUUUCCUUGCAUACUUUGAACGACUUUGGCAAAGGGCUAUAGAGCUCCAAAGCUUGGUUCUUCAUGAAUUUGAGCUUCCAAAAGCUUUGCCAUAACUUGUCCAAGUAGCUCCUCCAUCAUUUGGCAUGCUUGAAUUGAUUCAUAAGCUGAUAAAAACAUGUAAACUUGCCACAAAAUGGUUAAAACCAAUUACUAAGGACCUUAAUGAAUUAAUUGGGUUAAAUGAAUAUGAUUACUACUCAAAGGUGCUUAAAACCAUUAUAAUUAGGUCUACAAAAUAGCACUUUUUGGUAGUAAUCAGGAACACUGUUUGCUUGUUGGGUUGAGGAUGGUGGAAACUCUAUGUGAACGUUGCUGAUUUCUAGUUUUUGUAUAUGCUUACAGAUAUUGUUUCAUUCCCUAUUACUAUAUUCAUUUAUUUAUUUUUUAUCAUUUGAACUCAGUGAGACUUUGUUUUAUGGUAUAUUAUUUGAUGACAUUGUUUGCCCUAUUUCUCUUUUACUCUUCCCAC
Molecule: long non-coding RNA, 2042 nt
Filed under: Vitis vinifera (wine grape)
Lineage: Eukaryota; Viridiplantae; Streptophyta; Magnoliopsida; Vitales; Vitaceae
Description: long non-coding RNA (VVIN_LNC003272)
Source: RNAcentral